Molecule: ribosomal RNA, 166 nt
Filed under: uncultured bacterium
Lineage: Bacteria
Description: partial 16S ribosomal RNA
Rfam family: Bacterial small subunit ribosomal RNA
Source: RNAcentral
AGGCAGCAGUGAGGAAUAUUGGUCAAUGGGCGGGAGCCUGAACCAGCCAAGUCGCGUGAGGGAAGACGGUCCUAUGGAUUGUAAACCUCUUUUGUCGGGGAGCAAGAAAGGGUAUGCAUACCCUACUGAGAGUACCCGAAGAAAAAGCAUCGGCUAACUCCGUGCC